CCUACGGGAGGCAGCAGUGGGGAAUAUUGCACAAUGGGGGAAACCCUGAUGCAGCGACGCCGCGUGAGUGAAGAAGUAUCUCGGUAUGUAAAGCUCUAUCAGCAGGGAAGAAAAUGACGGUACCUGACUAAGAAGCCCCGGCUAACUACGUGCCAGCAGCCGCGGUAAUACGUAGGGGGCAAGCGUUAUCCGGAUUUACUGGGUGUAAAGGGAGCGUAGACGGCGCUGCAAGUCAGGAGUGAAAGCCCAGGGCUUAACCAUGGGACUGCUUUGGAAACUGUGGGGCUGGAGUGCGGGAGGGGCAAGCGGAAUUCCUAGUGUAGCGGUGAAAUGCGUAGAUAUUAGGAGGAACACCAGGGGCGAAGGCGGCUUGCUGGACUGUAACUGACGCUGAGGCGCGAAAGCGUGGGGAGCAAACAGGAUUAGAUACCCUAGUAGUC
Molecule: ribosomal RNA, 440 nt
Filed under: uncultured bacterium
Lineage: Bacteria
Description: partial 16S ribosomal RNA
Rfam family: Bacterial small subunit ribosomal RNA
Source: RNAcentral